Molecule: long non-coding RNA, 715 nt
Filed under: Equus caballus (horse)
Lineage: Eukaryota; Metazoa; Chordata; Mammalia; Perissodactyla; Equidae
Description: lncRNA (ENSECAG00000048854.1)
Source: RNAcentral
GGGCACUGCCUAAAAUAACCCAAUGGAUUCGAGAGUUGCAGCCAAAGAAGCAAACAAACAAAAAAGAGCCAAACAAAGAUGAUGAGCUUUAUGAGAUUAUAAACGGCAAGGGGGUAAAACAGCACCAGAAUGGGAAUCUAACAUCUGAAAGUCAUUUUCCAAAACUUCAUUCAGCACGGGAACAAUGCCGCAUUCAGGCGUAAUGAGCUGAGAAGGCGUGGUGCGCCAGGUCAAACUGGCGGUCUCUGAGCUCCUCUCAACGGAGUGCUUUGCCAAGAUUUCCUGCACAAAGUCGCAAAUGCACGUGCGUGCGAAAAAUCGCAAAAGAAGGGGAAGAGCGAGCGAUCAUCUUGGGAUUAUCCUAUAAAACAGAAACUGCAUAAGAGAAGAAAAUAACUGGCAAUCAAACCCCUGAGUGACUCCACAUUGCCUUUAAUUCUCCUCUAAUCAAAGGGCAGCACGCGGUUGUGAGAGAUGGCCAGAGCGGGGAGAGAUUAUGCAGAGAGUGACUUCAUUCAGAGAAAUCUUGGCACGAUUCCUAACCUCUUAGCCUGAGGGAGCAUUUCUAAAUUUUAUUUGUGUUCUUCACCUGAGAGAAUUGAUGCCUUCAAGAGCGCACAAGACAGAGGCUAAACAGACAUGCAAUAAAAUUAUCCUCCUUGGAUGGGUCAGGAGCUGCCUGAUAACUUAGUCUACGCCUACAUCAAUCCAGGAG